AUUGAACGCUGGCGGCAUGCUUAACACACGCAAGUCGAACGGUAACAGGCCCUUCGGGGUGCUGACGAGUGGCGGACGGGUGAGUAAUGCUUAGGAAUCUGCCUAGUAGUGGGGGAUAACCCGGGGAACUCGGGCUAAUACCGCAUACGCCCUACGGGGGAAAGGCGGGGACGUUUCGGCCUCGCGCUAUUAGAUGAGCCUAAGUCCGAUUAGCUAGUUGGUAGGGUAAUGGCCUACCAAGGCGACGANCGGUAGCUGGUCUGAGAGGACGACCACGCCACA
This 282-nucleotide ribosomal RNA is filed under the name uncultured bacterium. RNAcentral describes it as "partial 16S ribosomal RNA". It matches the Rfam family "Bacterial small subunit ribosomal RNA", at positions 30 to 312 of the family's 1533-position model. The record is from RNAcentral.